RNAcentral lists this ribosomal RNA (275 nucleotides) under uncultured bacterium. RNAcentral describes it as "partial 16S ribosomal RNA". It matches the Rfam family "Bacterial small subunit ribosomal RNA", at positions 28 to 311 of the family's 1533-position model. The record is from RNAcentral.
GACGAACGCCGGCGGCGUGCCUAACACAUGCAAGUCGAACGAAGCAUAGCAAUAUGCUUAGUGGCGGACGGGUGAGUAACGCGUGAACAAUCUGCCCUGUACAAAGGAUAGCCUCGGGAAACCGGGAUUAAAACCGUAUGACACUUUAGUAUCGCAUGAUAAGAAAGUCAAAUCGAUUAGAGGUAUGGGAUGAGUUCGCGUCUGAUUAGCUAGUUGGUGGGGUAACGCUCACCAAGGCCACGAUGCAUAGCCGACCUGAGAGGGUGAUCGGCCAC